RNAcentral lists this transfer RNA (76 nucleotides) under Lachnospiraceae bacterium XBB2008. RNAcentral's name for it is "tRNA_His_GTG". It matches the Rfam family "tRNA". From Rfam's summary of the family: Transfer RNA (tRNA) molecules are approximately 80 nucleotides in length. Their secondary structure includes four short double-helical elements and three loops (D, anti-codon, and T loops). The record is from RNAcentral. Lineage: Bacteria; Bacillati; Bacillota; Clostridia; Lachnospirales; Lachnospiraceae.
GUGGCUGUGGCAGAAAUGGUUAUGCACCGGAUUGUGGUUCCGGAUUAUGCGAGUUCAAGUCUCGUCGGUCACCCCA